UACAGGAACCCAAGGAUGGAGUCUCCCAGU
Molecule: non-coding RNA, 30 nt
Filed under: Rattus norvegicus (Norway rat)
Lineage: Eukaryota; Metazoa; Chordata; Mammalia; Rodentia; Muridae
Source: RNAcentral